CGGGAUGUAGCUCAGUUUGGCUAGAGUACUUGCUUGGGGUGCAAGGGGUCGCACGUUCAAAUCGUGUCAUUCCGACCA
This 78-nucleotide transfer RNA is filed under the name Ruminiclostridium sufflavum DSM 19573. RNAcentral's name for it is "tRNA-Pro". Lineage: Bacteria; Bacillati; Bacillota; Clostridia; Eubacteriales; Oscillospiraceae. RNAcentral also lists the same sequence under 1 other name. The record is from RNAcentral.